This 253-nucleotide ribosomal RNA is filed under the name uncultured bacterium. Its description in RNAcentral is "partial 16S ribosomal RNA". It matches the Rfam family "Bacterial small subunit ribosomal RNA", at positions 524 to 776 of the family's 1533-position model. The record is from RNAcentral.
UACGAAGGGGGCUAGCGUUGCUCGGAAUCACUGGGCGUAAAGGGUGCGUAGGCGGGUCUUUAAGUCAGGGGGGAAAUCCUGGAGCUCAACUCCAGAACUGCCUUUGAUACUGAGGAUCUUGAGUUCGGGAGAGGUGAGUGGAACUGCGAGUGUAGAGGUGAAAUUCGUAGAUAUUCGCAAGAACGCCAGUGGCGAAGGCGGCUCACUGGCCCGAUACUGACGCUGAGGCACGAAAGCGUGGGGAGCGAACGGG